ACCCUACCUUUCCUUACCUUCCCAUACCACAUUACCUUACUUUACCUUCCCAUACCACCUUACUUUACCUAACCGUACCUUUCCUCACCUUCCCAUAUGGUACUGUACCUUACCAUACUUUACCUUCCCUUGCCUCCCUUCCCUUACAUUACCUUACGACACCUUACCUUGCCUUACUUCACUUAACUUACCGCACUUUAUUUUACCUCGUCUUACCUUACCUUACCUUGCUUCUUAUUUUUUCUUACUUUACCUUACCAUUCCUUACUUUCCCAUACCUUACCUCACCUUACCUAACCUUACCUUGCCUUACCAUACCUUACCUUACCGUGCCUGGCUUCCUGUUACAUUAGUUUUGCUUGGAUUCAUGUUCUAAUUGUUGCUUCCGAUUUUUGUAAGCUACCAAGGUGAAUGUAAUCGAAUCCAGAUGUCAUUGUGUAAUACAUAAAGUAGAUUUUGAUGAAGUUUAAGACCGGGAAAGUGGUAAGAGACAGUUUUAAGUGCAGACUCUUACCACUGCUAUCAACUAAUUGUAACUAAUGGGAAACUAAUGGAAGCUUAAGUAGUCCUAAUUUUAAUGGGUUAAGAGAUACGACCAUUUUGAGGCUGGUAAAAUAAUGGAAGAGGCACUGAACACAGACCCUUGCCUAACUGAUGGAAAACUAAUGGAAGCUUAAGUAGUCAUAAUUUUAAUGGGUUUCAAGAGAUAUGACCAUUUUGAGAUUAGCUAAUGGAAGAGACACGUUGUAUGAGCACCGACUCCUGCCUUUUGGAAAUCCCUAAUGGUCCAGACACCCAUUUCGAGCACUGACUUUCUUGCCCAGCUACAGCGUUUACCCCCCCUUUGACUCCCUUGCCCCUUCACCCUCACUCACUAAUGGACGACAAGCACUAAUGGAAGAAGCCCAAAUGGUAAGCCCUCCAAGUGGUCAACACACGCCUACCUCUCCCAACCACCCCCCUUCCCCGCCCCAUCCACACACACACUGCUUUGUCGCCUCAACCUUAGAAUGCUGCAAUGUUCGAUGUAUUUUUGUGCUUUAGAAAACUACUGGCAUGUGCUGGAUGACUGUUAUAAGCUGUCAGGUGUUGCUGCUGCCCCCACGCCCACCCACGCCCGCCCACGCCCUCUGCCAAAGCCUGCGGGAAUCAUGGCGCAAGAACAGGGUGGGAGAGAUCUCUAUGGGGUUACCUCGCCCUGCCUCGCCCUUCCCUGCCACUCCACCCUUCUCCUACGGCCCCCAUACCCCUAGGAAGUGACCACAGCCUAUGGGAAGCCGGGUUUAUAUGGGGGAAUCCCUGCCACGCCCACGGCUGAGGAGAUGUCAAGAUAUCCCCCCAAGGAACGGAGCUACAGCGGCUUAUGUUAGACUCUCAUCUCGGCGCCAAGAGGAUGUUGGAGGAUGCUGAGAUGGCGGGCGAGAACAGAAAGAGAGGAAGAGACGAUUGCGAACGAAACAGCUGUCACAACCAUCUUUCUGUGUCACCAACAGCAACAACAACGUCACCACCACAACCACCACCACCACCACCAACAACAACAACAACAACAACAACAACAACAAUGUCACCAACAACAACAACAAUAACAACGUCACCACCAAUAACAACACGAAGAUGAAAGAAAACACCAAAUAUUAAAGAAAAAUUAUUAGUUAGUGGUGUCUUCACUGAAUCAGCAAGAUGGAUGAAGAACGCUCAGGGCAGUUUCACGGUGGAUGCAAUGCUAAGUACACCGCAGACAUCCAUCCAUGAGGCUCAAGUAACCAUUCACACUUACAGCGAUGUUUACAAAUUUGCCUUUUCACUUUGACCCUUAUUGCCAGGUAGUCUACACACCCACAUAGAUGAAGACCUGAUCCUUGAGGAGGCUUUUGAUGAGGUACAGUCACUUCUUUCUCCUCAACUGACCUCCCAAGAACUCUGACACCCAUAUCACAAGCUCCUCAACUGACCUCCCAAGAACUCUGACACCCAUAUCACAAGCUCCUCAACUGAGCUCCCAAGAACUCUGACACCCAUAUCACAAGCUCUCCCUCCCAGGCCAUUCCUUUGAGAUCAAAAACACUAUCAGUCAGCCAGAUCCCAUUCCCUUCAAGCUCUCUGUGAACCACUCUUACGGGCUAAUGACUACAUCCCUCACAUUAACCUCCUGUUAGUAAUAGUAUGGCAUGUAUCUUCCUCCUUCUUCUCUUUACUGUUUGUUAUGGUUUUAAAGUAUAGUUUAUUUAAUCUUUUAUUCAGCACCACAUGACCCUGCAGUUGCGGUGCCAAAACCAAACGCCCCAAUAAUCAUCAUCCUCCUCCUUUUCUCUCCUUUUUUUCUCUUUACAUCCAAAAUUUCUGUACUCUUCUUUUUGCAAUGCCAUUUUCAUCAGGUAUACAGCAUUGCAACUGGCAUAAACAGUCACUAAAAAUUCCGCAUAUUACUCUUCAUCUGUAGCAUUCUUACCACUGCAUCUAGUGUGAAAUGGGCCACACUCUGUCGCUUGAUUUUUUUAACGUCAUUUGAGUAUUUAUUAAUAGUCACGUGGCUAGUUUGGCUUGGCCCUUUUUCAUUCCAUUUUUGGGACGGAAUAAGCUAGAAGUGGUGGAUUUUCAGUGUUAAGUAAUGUUUCAAACUCACGUCAUAAAAAGUGAUAUAAAAAAAUCAACUAAACCAAUUAACCAAGCCUUGAAAAACGGUUCAGAAAAGACAAAUCAGCCACAGUAGCAUUAAUGGAGACUAAUACGACAUUUAAUAUAUCAGGCGUCUGUCUCUGGGUCUGGUGAUGCAGGCGGUCAGAACUACACCAGGGAAGCACGAGACAAGGAACAUAGAAACAAGCACCACCAUGAACGACCACCUGCAGUAGUAAGGAAUGGACCAGCCAGCAGUCCCCCCUCAAGACAGCAAGUCCACAUACCCGCCCAGGACUCGAUAAUGAGGUAACACAUGGUAAAGGUAGUGACGGGUGGUAGUAUUCCGAGUGGUAAUGGUAAGUGUGUAGAACUUGUAAUAGUGAAUGUGAAAGGUAUUAAAAAGUUGAUAGUGAAGUAAAGGUAUUGAAAGGGAUGGUGGUAGUAGUCAGGGUAGGAAAGGUAAGUGUAUGGUACUUAAAGCAGGGAAUGUAGAGGGUAUUAACAAAUCAGUAAUGAGGUAGUACAUGGUAAAGGCAGUGAAAGGGGUUGUGGUAGUAUUGAGGGUAGUGAAGGUAUAUGUACAGUGUAUGGGUAUAGUGUAUGGGGGAUGUAGAGGGUAAUAGCCAAUCAACGCACACCACUCCCAUCAGUACCCACAUCGGCAAUAUGAGAGGUGUCCAUUUUUUUCUAGUUUCCGCUAAGACAGGUAGCCAACGCAUCCCAGGAAAAACAAGAUCGAAGUUGAAAGGGAAAAGCGACCCACGGUACUCCACAUACAAGGUCACUUUUCCCUCGCAGCUUGUUUCUUGUUCUUCCUGCGCUGUGUUGCCUGUCCUUCCUCCUGCAAACUGGAACAAAAUGGCUUUAUCCCUUACGCCUUUUCUCCUUUGGACACCUCAUAAGAUACUCAAGAAAGUGACCCAAGUAUUGAAACAAAGUGGUCAAAAUUAAGAAUGAUGUAUCAGUCUUUACCUUUGCUAGAGUUAAUUUUUGAGUCUCCGUGUUUCAAGAGUAGGUUAUCUCCUUGAUGUGAGAACUAUGUAGUCCAUUUCAGCGACUGAAUAGAGAAGAUGAAAUGGUUAUAUACAAAACAGACUAAGAAAGGAGGAAUUGAACAGAAACUGAUUGAUGGCAAGGAGUGAAGACGGUUAGCAAGGAACAGUGACUUAAAUAAAAAUGGGAUUGAGCUAGUGAGAUGAAGAGUGAGAAGAGUCUAAUCUGUGACAGAAGUGAUUCAAAAGACUAAAUGUUAGAUAGCAAGUAGUGGAAACAGUUAGCAAGGUACAGCAGCCAGAUAUAAAAACAGGAUAAAGUUAGUGAGAUGAUAAGAAAAGUUUACAUACCAAACAAUCUAAGCGAGAAAGAAGUGGAGACAAAAUAUUUGACCGCAAGGAGAGGAGACAGUUAGGAAGGAACAGCAACCACAUAUAUAUACAGGAUUAAAUGAGUGAGAUGGAAAGAAAGUAGAGUCUGCACAUCAAACAAUAUAAGAGAGACGGGAUUGAAAAGAGACUAUAUAUUUGGCUAACUGAUUGCAAGAAAUGGAGAUGGUUUGGGAGGAUUAAGCUAGUGAAAGUAAUUAACCUGGUAGCAGCGACGGGCCAAAUGUGUGGCUUUACCGUGUAGCACUGACGGGCCAAAUUUGUGGCUUUACCGUGUAGCAGCGACGGGCCAAAUUUGUGGCUUUACCAUGUAGCAGCGACGGGCCAAAUUUGUGGCUUUACCAUGUAGCAGCGACGGGCCAAAUUUGUAGCUUUACCGUGUAGCAGCGACGGGCCAAAUUUGUGGCUUUACCGUGUAGCAGCGACGGGCCAAAUUUGUGCCAUGAUUUAAACCCCCCAAAAUAGAUGAUACAUAAACUGAUCACAAAUGCUUCGAUAUAUAUCAUGAAAUGGUUUGUGUGAGUGAUUUUUCCUCAUUUUUCUCGCUUAAAGGGACCAUUAAGAAACAUGAUCCCCGCUGCUACUGGGUUAAAGGAAGCCAUAAUGAGCAGGUUACAGGUAUAGGAGCAGCCCUGUAGCCAUAAGGUAAGCACUGUAUUUUGAGACCUGGAGAGUAGUCGGCAAAAAAGAGCCGAACUCCCAUGGGUCGGCUUAAUAGAAUUUGACCAAAAUCUAGACAUGGUGUUGCAUUGGUUAAGUGGGUACCAGCGCCUAGUCUAUCAUUGCAACCCACUUAACCGACACAACACCAUGUCCAUAGAUUUCCCUCAAUUUACAUUCAAUCAACUCACGGGUGUUCGAUAACUUUUUUGGCUGACUGUACUGUAAUAGGAAUGGUGCAUGUAUAUUGGCCACAUACCUUUGUAGUUGUAGAUGAGAGUAAUAAAAGGAAGAAGCCUCCAAUAAUCUUUUAAAUCCCUCUAAUGUAUCAGUAUUCCUAUCCUUAGCUAACUUGUAAUUAUAUGACCAAUAAAACUGACAUAUCAAAAGUUUAUUCCUUACAUUCAAACCACAGUGCUACUUAAGGAUUCUGUCUAAUGGUAAAUCUUAAGUUUAUAAUAUUCUGUGACUUUGGGGUCAAGAAUGUCUCCAUGCUCUGAUGUGUGCUUAAAGUGGAGACUAGAAGGGAGCUACUGAGAUGUAUAAGAGAAUGCUCAUCAGGUAAAUCAUAA
Molecule: long non-coding RNA, 5236 nt
Organism: Eriocheir sinensis (Chinese mitten crab)
Lineage: Eukaryota; Metazoa; Arthropoda; Malacostraca; Decapoda; Varunidae
Exons: 4
Source: RefSeq, a predicted model, not a curated record